GAUGAACGCUGGCGGCGUGCAUAACACAUUCAAGUCGAACGGUGAUGAGGACUUCGGUCCUCUGAUCAGUGGCGGACGGGUGAGUAACGCGUGAGCAACCUGCCCUAUAUUGCGGGAUAACAACCGGAAACAGUUGCUAAUACCGCAUGACGUAUUCGGAUCGCAUGUUCUGAAUACGUCAUGCGGUAUUAGCAAGAGAUGAGCUUGCGUCUGAUUAGCUAGUUGGUGAGGUAACGGCUCACCAAGGCGACGAUCGGUAGCCGGACUGAGAGGUUGAACGGCCACAUUGGAACUGAGAUACGGUCCAGACUCCUACGGGAGGCAGCAGUGGGGAAUAUUGGGCAAUGGGCGAAAGCCUGACCCAGCGACGCCGCGUGAGGGAAGAAGAUCUUCGGAUUGUAAACCUUAGUCAACAGGGAAGAAGAAAGUGACGGUACCUGUGGAGGAAGCCAACGGCUAAACUACGUAGCCAGCAGCCGCGGU
This 483-nucleotide ribosomal RNA is filed under the name uncultured bacterium. RNAcentral's name for it is "bacterial SSU rRNA". It matches the Rfam family "Bacterial small subunit ribosomal RNA", at positions 28 to 521 of the family's 1533-position model. The record is from RNAcentral.